RNAcentral lists this ribosomal RNA (471 nucleotides) under uncultured bacterium. RNAcentral describes it as "SSU rRNA". It matches the Rfam family "Bacterial small subunit ribosomal RNA", at positions 26 to 518 of the family's 1533-position model. The record is from RNAcentral.
AGGACGAACGCUUGCGACGUGCCUAAGAAAUGCAAGUCGAACGGACAGUAGCAAUACUGUUAGUGGCGAACGGUCGCGUAACACGUGGGCAACCUGCCCUGAAGCGGGGGACAACAACUUGAAAGAGUUGCUAAUACCGCAUGUGAAUCGCUGUGGCAUCACAGAGGAUUCAAAGCCGCAAGGCACUUCAGGAUGGGCCCGCGGCCUAUCAGCUAGUUGGUGAGGUAACGGCCCACCAAGGCUUCGACGGGUAGCUGGUCUGAGAGGACGAUCAGCCGGAUUGGGACUGAGAUACGGCCCAGACUCCUACGGGGGGCAGCAAUUAGGAAUCUUGCGCAAUGGGCGAAAGCCUGACGCAGCGACGUCGCGUGAAGGAUGAAAUCUUUCGGGAUGUAAACUUCUUUUUUCAGCCAUGAAACAAUGACAGUAGCUAGAAGAAUAAGCCCCGGCUAACUACGUGCCAGCAGCCGC